UAUUGCCCAGGCGCUUGCA
This 19-nucleotide non-coding RNA is filed under the name Mus musculus (house mouse). Lineage: Eukaryota; Metazoa; Chordata; Mammalia; Rodentia; Muridae. The record is from RNAcentral.